Drosophila virilis is the source of this 659-nucleotide non-coding RNA. The record is from RefSeq and is a predicted model, not a curated record. Lineage: Eukaryota; Metazoa; Arthropoda; Insecta; Diptera; Drosophilidae.
CAAUAUACCCUUAUACCCAUUUUUAAUGGGUUCAGGGUAUAAAAACAGCAGCAAACAUUUCUGUGGGAACAAAAUGGGCAUGGAACCAAAAAAAGUUUUGCAACACAUAUUUCAUGCGAGCCUUUUGAGAUAUCUUUUAAGAUACUUUUUAAAAUAUCACAAAACGCUCGCUUGUCGUAUUUCUUGCGACAGUUGUAAAUGAAAUGUUAACUGCCACAAACUGAACGACAUAUGAUUCAUAUUGCAAUCGUUUUCCGAUGCGCUUGCGUGAGAUUUGCCGGGUUAUGUCUCGCAUUUGACCAGUUUACGAUAUCAUUUGAGAACAGUUUGAUCCGCUGGGCUGCAAUUCAGGUAAAACUUUUGGUGCUCUUAACUAUCGUUAAGAUUUCUUCAAAUUGAACUCGUUUCACUGCAAAGCGGCAGCUGCUGCUUUUGUGCUCUAUAUAAGAAAGGGCGGAACUGAUACUGCCAUCAUCCAGGACGAUUGAGAAAAUGUAGGCAACGAAUCUGGAAUAUGGAUAUGGACCUCUGUUUGGUUCGAUUGCGCUCACCAUUGUCAUAACACGCUCAUCACCCUUAGUGGGACGGCACUGGCAUAAACAAAAAAAAAGGUUAGCGGCAUUAAAAAAACAACCUCUUAACCAAUCCCAUCUAUGAAA